RNAcentral lists this ribosomal RNA (254 nucleotides) under uncultured bacterium. RNAcentral's name for it is "partial 16S ribosomal RNA". It matches the Rfam family "Bacterial small subunit ribosomal RNA", at positions 524 to 776 of the family's 1533-position model. The record is from RNAcentral.
UACGUAGGGUGCGAGCGUUGUCCGGAUUUAUUGGGCGUAAAGAGCUCGUAGGCGGUUUGUCGCGUCGGCCGUGAAAUCUCCACGCUUAACGUGGAGCGUGCGGUCGAUACGGGCAGACUUGAGUUCGGUAGGGGAGACUGGAAUUCCUGGUGUAGCGGUGAAAUGCGCAGAUAUCAGGAGGAACACCGGUGGCGAAGGCGGGUCUCUGGGCCGAUACUGACGCUGAGGAGCGAAAGCGUGGGGGAGCAAACAGG